This 390-nucleotide ribosomal RNA is filed under the name Ochromonas tuberculata. RNAcentral describes it as "partial small subunit ribosomal RNA". It matches the Rfam family "Eukaryotic small subunit ribosomal RNA", at positions 30 to 432 of the family's 1831-position model. Lineage: Eukaryota; Chrysophyceae; Chromulinales; Chromulinaceae. The record is from RNAcentral.
GCUUGUCUCAAAGAUUAAGCCAUGCAUGUCUAAGUAUAAACGACUUUAUACUGUGAAACUGCGAAUGGCUCAUUAUAUCAGUUAUAGUUUAUUUGAUGGUCCUUACUACUUGGAUAACCGUAGUAAUUCUAGAGCUAAUACAUGCAUCAAACCCCGACUUCUGGAAGGGGUGUAUUUAUUAGAUUGAAACCAAUGCGGGGUAACCCGGUGUUUGGUGAUUCAUAAUAACUUUCGGAUCGCAUUUGCGAUGCAUCAUUCAAGUUUCUGCCCUAUCAGCUUUGGAUGGUAGGGUAUUGGCCUACCAUGGCAUUAACGGGUAACGGAGGAUUUGGGUUCGAUUCCGGAGAGGGAGCCUGAGAAAUGGCUACCACAUCCAAGGAAGGCAGCAGG